GACGAUUUCCGGUUGAUCCUGGCGGAGGCUACUGCUAUUGGGAUUCGACUAAGCCAUGCGAGUCAAGGUGUCUUCGGAUGCCGGCGUACGGCUCAGUAACACGUAGGUAACCUACCCUCAGGACUGAGAUAACCCCGGGAAACUGGGGCUAAUAUUAGAUAGAUAAAAGGUACUGGAAUGUUCUUUUAUCCAAAGCUUUUGCGCCUGAGGAUGGGCCUGCGUCCGAUUAGGUUGUUGGUGGGGUAAUGGCCCACCAAGCCUGCGAUCGGUACGGGCAGUGAGAGCUGAAGCCCGGAGUUGGGGACUGAGACAAGGCCCCAGGCCCUACGGGGCGCAGCAGGCGCGAAACCUCUGCAAUGCGGGAAACCGUGACAGGGGGAUCCCAAGUGCUCAUGCAUUGCAUGGGCUGUUCUUUGGUCUAAGUAACCGGAGGAGUAAGGGCUGGGCAAGACCGGUGCCAGCCGCCGCGGUAAUACCGGCAGCUCAAGUGGUAGCCGCGAUUAUUGGGCCUAAAGCGUUCGUAGCCGGAUAAGUAAGUCUUUGGUUAAAUCCUGCAACUCAACUGUGGGAAAUCUAGGGAUACUGCUUGUCUUGAGACCGGGAGAGGUUAGAGGUACUCCUAGGGUAGGGGUGAAAUCCUGUAAUCCUAGGGGGACCACCUGUGGCGAAGGCGUCUAACUGGAACGGGUCUGACGGUGAGGGACGAAACCUAGGGGAACGAGCCGGAUUAGAUACCCGGGUAGUCCUAGGCGUAAAUGAUGCGAGUUAAGUGUGGGGGCAUCUACGAGAUGGCCCUGUGCUGUAGGGUAGCCGUUAAACUCGCCGCCUGGGGAGUACGGUCGCAAGGCUGAAACUUAA
Molecule: ribosomal RNA, 858 nt
Filed under: uncultured archaeon
Lineage: Archaea
Description: bacterial SSU rRNA
Rfam family: Archaeal small subunit ribosomal RNA
Source: RNAcentral